CCUACGGGAGGCAGCAGUGGGGGAUAUUGCACAAUGGGGGAAACCCUGAUGCAGCGACGCCGCGUGGGUGAAGAAGCGCCUCGGCGCGUAAAGCCCUGUCAGCAGGGAAGAAAAUGACGGUGCCUGACGAAUAAGCCUCGGCUAACUACGUGCCAGCAGCCGCGGUAAUACGUAGGGGGCAAGCGUUAUCCGGAUUUACUGGGUGUAAAGGGGGCGCAGACGGUGUUGCAAGUCAGGAGUGAAAGCCCGGGGCCCAACCGCGGGAGUGCUCUGGGAACUGGGUGGCUAGAGUGCAGGAGGGGAAGGUGGAAUUCCAGGUGUAGCGGUGAAAUGCGUAGAUAUAACGAAGAACACCGAUUGCGAAAGCAGCCUACUAAACUGCAACUGACACUGAUGCUCGAAAGUGUGGGUAUCAAACAGGAUUAGAUACCCCAGUAGUC
This 440-nucleotide ribosomal RNA is filed under the name uncultured bacterium. RNAcentral describes it as "partial 16S ribosomal RNA". It matches the Rfam family "Bacterial small subunit ribosomal RNA", at positions 338 to 795 of the family's 1533-position model. The record is from RNAcentral.